CGGGGGGUGCAAGCGUUGUCCGGAUUUACUGGGCGUAAAGGGCGCGUAGGCGGGACGAUAAGUCGGAGGUGAAAUAUGCGGGCUCAACCUGCAAACUGCCUUCGAUACUGUCGUUCUUGAGUGCAGAAGGGGAGAGUGGAAUACCUGGUGUAGCGGUGGAAUGCGCAGAUAUCAGGUAGAACACCGGUGGCGAAGGCGGCUCUCUGGUCUGACACUGACGCUGAGGCGCGAAAGCGUGGGGAGCAAACAGGAUUAGAUACCCUGGUAGUCCACGCCGUAAACGAUGAGAACUAGAUGUCAGGGGAAUCGACCCCUCUGGUGUCGCAGCUAACGCAUUAAGUUCUCCGCCUGGGGAGUACGAUCGCAAGGUUG
RNAcentral lists this ribosomal RNA (372 nucleotides) under uncultured prokaryote. RNAcentral's name for it is "bacterial SSU rRNA". It matches the Rfam family "Bacterial small subunit ribosomal RNA", at positions 526 to 896 of the family's 1533-position model. The record is from RNAcentral.